RNAcentral lists this ribosomal RNA (2834 nucleotides) under Staphylococcus aureus. RNAcentral's name for it is "bacterial LSU rRNA". It matches the Rfam family "Bacterial large subunit ribosomal RNA". Lineage: Bacteria; Bacillati; Bacillota; Bacilli; Caryophanales; Staphylococcaceae. The record is from RNAcentral.
GAUUAAGUUAUUAAGGGCGCACGGUGGAUGCCUUGGCACUAGAAGCCGAUGAAGGACGUUACUAACGACGAUAUGCUUUGGGGAGCUGUAAGUAAGCUUUGAUCCAGAGAUUUCCGAAUGGGGAAACCCAGCAUGAGUUAUGUCAUGUUAUCGAUAUGUGAAUACAUAGCAUAUCAGAAGGCACACCCGGAGAACUGAAACAUCUUAGUACCCGGAGGAAGAGAAAGAAAAUUCGAUUCCCUUAGUAGCGGCGAGCGAAACGGGAAGAGCCCAAACCAACAAGCUUGCUUGUUGGGGUUGUAGGACACUCUAUACGGAGUUACAAAGGACGACAUUAGACGAAUCAUCUGGAAAGAUGAAUCAAAGAAGGUAAUAAUCCUGUAGUCGAAAAUGUUGUCUCUCUUGAGUGGAUCCUGAGUACGACGGAGCACGUGAAAUUCCGUCGGAAUCUGGGAGGACCAUCUCCUAAGGCUAAAUACUCUCUAGUGACCGAUAGUGAACCAGUACCGUGAGGGAAAGGUGAAAAGCACCCCGGAAGGGGAGUGAAAUAGAACCUGAAACCGUGUGCUUACAAGUAGUCAGAGCCCGUUAAUGGGUGAUGGCGUGCCUUUUGUAGAAUGAACCGGCGAGUUACGAUUUGAUGCAAGGUUAAGCAGUAAAUGUGGAGCCGUAGCGAAAGCGAGUCUGAAUAGGGCGUUUAGUAUUUGGUCGUAGACCCGAAACCAGGUGAUCUACCCUUGGUCAGGUUGAAGUUCAGGUAACACUGAAUGGAGGACCGAACCGACUUACGUUGAAAAGUGAGCGGAUGAACUGAGGGUAGCGGAGAAAUUCCAAUCGAACCUGGAGAUAGCUGGUUCUCUCCGAAAUAGCUUUAGGGCUAGCCUCAAGUGAUGAUUAUUGGAGGUAGAGCACUGUUUGGACGAGGGGCCCCUCUCGGGUUACCGAAUUCAGACAAACUCCGAAUGCCAAUUAAUUUAACUUGGGAGUCAGAACAUGGGUGAUAAGGUCCGUGUUCGAAAGGGAAACAGCCCAGACCACCAGCUAAGGUCCCAAAAUAUAUGUUAAGUGGAAAAGGAUGUGGCGUUGCCCAGACAACUAGGAUGUUGGCUUAGAAGCAGCCAUCAUUUAAAGAGUGCGUAAUAGCUCACUAGUCGAGUGACACUGCGCCGAAAAUGUACCGGGGCUAAACAUAUUACCGAAGCUGUGGAUUGUCCUUUGGACAAUGGUAGGAGAGCGUUCUAAGGGCGUUGAAGCAUGAUCGUAAGGACAUGUGGAGCGCUUAGAAGUGAGAAUGCCGGUGUGAGUAGCGAAAGACGGGUGAGAAUCCCGUCCACCGAUUGACUAAGGUUUCCAGAGGAAGGCUCGUCCGCUCUGGGUUAGUCGGGUCCUAAGCUGAGGCCGACAGGCGUAGGCGAUGGAUAACAGGUUGAUAUUCCUGUACCACCUAUAAUCGUUUUAAUCGAUGGGGGGACGCAGUAGGAUAGGCGAAGCGUGCGAUUGGAUUGCACGUCUAAGCAGUAAGGCUGAGUAUUAGGCAAAUCCGGUACUCGUUAAGGCUGAGCUGUGAUGGGGAGAAGACAUUGAGUCUUCGAGUCGUUGAUUUCACACUGCCGAGAAAAGCCUCUAGAUAGAAAAUAGGUGCCCGUACCGCAAACCGACACAGGUAGUCAAGAUGAGAAUUCUAAGGUGAGCGAGCGAACUCUCGUUAAGGAACUCGGCAAAAUGACCCCGUAACUUCGGGAGAAGGGGUGCUCUUUAGGGUUAACGCCCAGAGGAGCCGCAGUGAAUAGGCCCAAGCGACUGUUUAUCAAAAACACAGGUCUCUGCUAAACCGUAAGGUGAUGUAUAGGGGCUGACGCCUGCCCGGUGCUGGAAGGUUAAGAGGAGUGGUUAGCUUCUGCGAAGCUACGAAUCGAAGCCCCAGUAAACGGCGGCCGUAACUAUAACGGUCCUAAGGUAGCGAAAUUCCUUGUCGGGUAAGUUCCGACCCGCACGAAAGGCGUAACGAUUUGGGCACUGUCUCAACGAGAGACUCGGUGAAAUCAUAGUACCUGUGAAGAUGCAGGUUACCCGCGACAGGACGGAAAGACCCCGUGGAGCUUUACUGUAGCCUGAUAUUGAAAUUCGGCACAGCUUGUACAGGAUAGGUAGGAGCCUUUGAAACGUGAGCGCUAGCUUACGUGGAGGCGCUGGUGGGAUACUACCCUAGCUGUGUUGGCUUUCUAACCCGCACCACUUAUCGUGGUGGGAGACAGUGUCAGGCGGGCAGUUUGACUGGGGCGGUCGCCUCCUAAAAGGUAACGGAGGCGCUCAAAGGUUCCCUCAGAAUGGUUGGAAAUCAUUCAUAGAGUGUAAAGGCAUAAGGGAGCUUGACUGCGAGACCUACAAGUCGAGCAGGGUCGAAAGACGGACUUAGUGAUCCGGUGGUUCCGCAUGGAAGGGCCAUCGCUCAACGGAUAAAAGCUACCCCGGGGAUAACAGGCUUAUCUCCCCCAAGAGUUCACAUCGACGGGGAGGUUUGGCACCUCGAUGUCGGCUCAUCGCAUCCUGGGGCUGUAGUCGGUCCCAAGGGUUGGGCUGUUCGCCCAUUAAAGCGGUACGCGAGCUGGGUUCAGAACGUCGUGAGACAGUUCGGUCCCUAUCCGUCGUGGGCGUAGGAAAUUUGAGAGGAGCUGUCCUUAGUACGAGAGGACCGGGAUGGACAUACCUCUGGUGUACCAGUUGUCGUGCCAACGGCAUAGCUGGGUAGCUAUGUGUGGACGGGAUAAGUGCUGAAAGCAUCUAAGCAUGAAGCCCCCCUCAAGAUGAGAUUUCCCAACUUCGGUUAUAAGAUC